CCUGGAAACAGAUGCUAAUACCGGAUAACAACAGAUGAUGCCUAUCAACUGUUUAAAGANGGUUAUGCUAUCACUCUUGGAUGGACCUGCGGUGCAUUAGCUAGUUGGUAGGGUAACGGCCUACCAAGGCGAUGAUGCAUAGCCGAGUUGAGAGACUGAUCGGCCACAUUGGGACUGAGACACGGCCCAAACUCCUACGGGAGGCAGCAGAA
RNAcentral lists this ribosomal RNA (212 nucleotides) under uncultured Lactobacillus sp. RNAcentral's name for it is "partial 16S ribosomal RNA". It matches the Rfam family "Bacterial small subunit ribosomal RNA", at positions 149 to 354 of the family's 1533-position model. Lineage: Bacteria; Bacillati; Bacillota; Bacilli; Lactobacillales; Lactobacillaceae. The record is from RNAcentral.